RNAcentral lists this long non-coding RNA (636 nucleotides) under Coffea arabica (coffee). RNAcentral describes it as "long non-coding RNA (CARA_LNC000156)". The record is from RNAcentral. Lineage: Eukaryota; Viridiplantae; Streptophyta; Magnoliopsida; Gentianales; Rubiaceae.
UUUUUUUAUCAAUGCAAGUUUAAUUCCGAUUUUACACCCGUUGGACUGCAAGUAUACAGGUCGUAAUUGUAGUACAAGAUGUGUAUCGGGUCGAUCCCACGAGGAGCAAUUAAAACAAUUAUUAGAUACUAAUUUACUCUAUUAUUUAGACUUACAAUUAAUUUGAGCAGAAAUUUCAGAAUGUAAUUCAACUACAAAAAUUCUUAACUAGAUAAAUGCAAUUUCACAAAAGGAAUAGAAUUCACUAAAUAUUAAGAUCUAGGGAUGUAGAUUCCACUUAUGAUUCAAAAGAUCUAAAAUGAAUUAAUUCAACACUUGUUACUGCUCUUGUUUAACCAAGAAUUCAUUUCCAGAAAUACCAAAAUCACAUUCUCAUGAUGAUAAUGGGUUAAAACAGAUUAGUUUUUCCUAAUCUCUUGGUAAAUACUAAAUAUGUUCUUAUUUACACAUGAAAUGCAGAUUUCAUCCACUUGAAUGUAUUUCUAUUCUCAUGAAUAUACAACUCAAGUUCUACUUGUGUCAUUCCAUUAUUUUUACCAUUUCUCAAUGAGUAAAAACAACUAUAAACCUGCCAUUGGUGAUCAAGCAACAACAAGUAAUCCAACAUACACAAGUAGAUAAGUUAAUACAAGACAU